RNAcentral lists this ribosomal RNA (476 nucleotides) under uncultured bacterium. RNAcentral describes it as "partial 16S ribosomal RNA". It matches the Rfam family "Bacterial small subunit ribosomal RNA", at positions 30 to 506 of the family's 1533-position model. The record is from RNAcentral.
AUUGAACGCUGGCGGCAUGCCUUACACAUGCAAGUCGAACGGUAACAGGUUAAGCUGACGAGUGGCGAACGGGUGAGUAAUGUAUCGGAACGUGCCCAGUCGUGGGGGAUAACUGCUCGAAAGAGCAGCUAAUACCGCAUACGACCUGAGGGUGAAAGCGGGGGAUCGCAAGACCUCGCGCGAUUGGAGCGGCCGAUAUCAGAUUAGGUAGUUGGUGAGGUAAAGGCUCACCAAGCCGACGAUCUGUAGCUGGUCUGAGAGGACGACCAGCCACACUGGGACUGAGACACGGCCCAGACUCCUACGGGAGGCAGCAGUGGGGAAUUUUGGACAGUGGGCGCAAGCCUGAUCCAGCCAUGCCGCGUGCGGGAAGAAGGCCUUCGGGUUGUAAACCGCUUUUGUCAGGGAAGAAAAGGUUCUGGCUAAUACCUGGGACUCAUGACGGUACCUGAAGAAUAAGCACCGGCUAACUACGU